GACGAACGCUGGCGGCGUGCUUAACACAUGCAAGUCGAGCGGUAAGGCCCUUUCGGGGGUACACGAGCGGCGAACGGGUGAGUAACACGUGGGUGACCUGCCCUCAGCUCUGGGAUAAGCCUGGGAAACCGGGUCUAAUACCGGAUAUGACUCCAUGACGCAUGUUGUGGGGUGGAAAGCCUUGUGCGGCUGAGGAUGGGCCCGCGGCCUAUCAGCUUGUUGGUGGGGUGAUGGCCUACCAAGGCGCGACGGGUAGCCGGCCUGAGAGGGCGACCGGCCACACUGGGACUGAGACACGGCCCAGACUCCUACGGGAGGCAGCAGUGGGGAAUCUUGCGCAAUGGGCGAAAGCCUGACGCAGCGACGCCGCGUGAGGGAUGACGGCCUGGUGUAAC
RNAcentral lists this ribosomal RNA (395 nucleotides) under uncultured bacterium. RNAcentral's name for it is "bacterial SSU rRNA". It matches the Rfam family "Bacterial small subunit ribosomal RNA", at positions 28 to 429 of the family's 1533-position model. The record is from RNAcentral.